CAGCGCCGGCGCCCGGUGAGGAGACGGAAGAAGGAGGAGGAGGAGGAGGCACCCGGGGCCGCCGCCGCUGUCUCGGUCACCUCUAGCGCCGGCGCCGCACCACUUCUCGCGAUACUUCUCGCCGCCACCGCCUUCGGCGGCAGCAGCAACCGCGGCGGGCGCCGCUCCCGCCGCCUCCGCCCCGAGCUCGCCCGCCCGCCCCUUCCUUCCGUCCUUCCUUCCCUCCCUGCCUCCCUCCCUCUCUCCCUUCCUCCGCCGCCCCGGUUCAGCGCGGCCUCGACCCGGCGCCGCGCUCCCCCGCCGCUCCCCGCUCCGCCGGCGGCAGCCUCCUUGGCGGCGCCCCCCCCCCCCCGUUUCCUCCUCCUCCUCCUCCUCCUCCACCGUUCCGUGCGUGCUUCAGUCACGGCCCCGGCGCCGGAACCACCGGCAACGUCAUCACCGUCCGCGGCGGCGCUCUGAGGCGGUUUCCCUCCCCGCCCGCCCUCGGACUGGGAAUGGCGGCCAUCUCCUCAUCCCCACCCCGCGGGGCUAGCUGCUCUGUGGAACGGAGGGCAGGGGGAAAAGCCGGGGAAGGGGGAGGUCUGGGGGUCGCCGUCGGAGAGAGAAGGUGGUUGGGCAGGGCGGCUGCUAGGCGGCCGCUCUGUACCGGCCGAGUUGCAGCGUCAAACGAAAUGGCAGGAGAGGGCAAGUUUCCUGUGAGCAUCCCAACUGCUGUGGCCUUGUGAGUAAAGGAAGUAAAGAAAAUCCAGACAGAUUCAGGAUUUAACAAGAGCGGUGCUAGCCUGGAGGAACUGCUUAGAGUUAGAGCAGCUUGGUUCAUCAAGGGACAGCACCUCUAUGUAUGUGGAAGGUAAAGCAUUUACAUUAAUGCUAACACUCAAACCCGCCAAGUACGAAGGCCCAUUUGGGAUUGACUUCUGCCUAAGUUUGGCAUGGUAAACCAGGUGAUUUUGCCAUUUGCUAUGCUUAAACAUGAUUGGUGUCAGUUUGAAAUAACAUAUAUCCCACCUGAGUGUCUUGAAAAGUAUUUGUAUUCCAUCUCAGACACUGAUAUUACAUGUUCUGGUAGUUGCCCUUAAACCUUAAUACAACAUCAUGCCAGCUUUGACCACUUCCUCACGGUCACAAUUGGGAAAGUAAAAACAAGUCCAGAAAGCAAAACCUUUUGAAUAUUGAUUCACUGAAGAAAUAUGCAGGUGUUCUUGUUAAAAAGAUAAAGCGCAGUUGUCCUGCAGGAAAUGAUGGCGUUCCAUCCAGUUAAGUCUUUGCUAACAAAGACUAACCUUCUCCUUGUUUCUGAUGUCAUCACUAGAAGCGAUGGCCAGUGGUGUUCAUCCACCCACAAGGCGUUUAAGUCCAGAGUGGUGUUUGAUACCAGGGCACUCGCUGGGAGGCCAGUAGGAGUGCUGGAGACUUUCAGUCACAUGGAAUAGUUCUGGUUUGCUUCUGAAUGUUUUGAUGCCUACCCAUACACUUGGAGUUGGUUCAGGUAGUUCAGUGGGGCUUACUCACUGCUGCUUCUGGUGUGGUUUUGAGGGAAAGCGCUCCCAAGUUUGGAAUGCAGUUUUUUCAUCUUGCCAUUUUCACUUGAGUGUUUAGGCAGAGGCGUGCAUGUUAACGUAACAGUGAGCUAGCUAGCUGUGGCCAUGCUGGCCUAGUUUUUCAAAAAAAUCUGGCAAAUGUUAAAAAUACAAUAAUGGCACAAGUGUAAACAGUGAUAUAUAAUAACACCAUGACUGUUUGGGGGCUGGAAAUUCAGAGUUCUGGUUAGAGACAUGUGGCUUGGAAACAGUCUUCCUGCAAGAGUACUGCAAGCAAAAGCCUACAAUUUAAGACAGCACUUGAGAAAUCUGUGUACAGUGUAGGUGAUACAAGAUGAUUGACUUUUACAAAGAAGACUGAACUGAAACACUGAUGGCCCUGGAUAGACAUUAGGCAGGCAGCCGUGAGCCUGAUGGGUCAAAGGGAAGCAGUACCUUUUGUAUUAAAAUUAAGCUUUUGAUGUAAUUUUUGUACUUUGUGGUUUUUUUCCAGUGAGCUUUACAAACUAGUCACUAUUUUAUACCCUUCUCUAUGGCCCCAGCACUACCCAGCAGGUAACAGUACUUUGAACUUGAAAUUCUAAAGGGUUCAUUAGCUAACAAUUGACCUAAAGUGUUAAGCUAGAAAGGCAUUUCUUCUGUAAUGUAUUUAGUACUUCAGCAGUCUGUAUCUUCUUUAAGAAAUAGCUUAAGCACUUGGAAUCCUAAAACUUAUUAGUACUCUGAAAGACUUACAUUUUUACGUGAAUAAAUGAUUUUUGAGAGUAGGUUUCAGGUUCCUAAUUUGCUUCACAUGCUUUUGAAAUGCUUACCCUUUGCAAGUAUAAAAUCAAAAAAUACCAUGGCAAAUUGAG
Accipiter nisus (Eurasian sparrowhawk) is the source of this 2395-nucleotide long non-coding RNA. NCBI's taxonomy places the organism in Eukaryota, Metazoa, Chordata, Aves, Accipitriformes, Accipitridae. The record is from Ensembl.